RNAcentral lists this long non-coding RNA (320 nucleotides) under Malus domestica (apple). RNAcentral's name for it is "long non-coding RNA (MDOM_LNC009684)". The record is from RNAcentral. Lineage: Eukaryota; Viridiplantae; Streptophyta; Magnoliopsida; Rosales; Rosaceae.
AGUGGAUACCACAAAAUCUUAUGUUAUACUUAAUAAAAGUAUGAAUAAACUCUUAAGUAUUAGUAAAUCUAUUGUUUUGAUGGGAUACGCAUUCUACAAAACUAGUUUCAAUGAUCCAACCGUCAAACAUGUUUGUAUAUACUUCGAGAUCGCAUACGCCAAAAAUUGCAAAAAACAAACAUUCAGAGAUCAAGUAAUGGGACAAAAGUUUUCAACGGUUAUAAACGAAAAAUCACGAUUUAACGGUCAUUUUAACUCCGAUUUUGAUGAUUUUUUACAACUACACUCCUUGACCCUAUAUGAAUACAAGUAAUGAAUUC